RNAcentral lists this ribosomal RNA (460 nucleotides) under uncultured bacterium. RNAcentral's name for it is "partial 16S ribosomal RNA". It matches the Rfam family "Bacterial small subunit ribosomal RNA", at positions 338 to 795 of the family's 1533-position model. The record is from RNAcentral.
CCUACGGGAGACUGCAGUGAGGAAUAUUGGUCAAUGGGCGCUAGCCUGAACCAGCCAAGUAGCGUGAAGGAUGACUGCCCUACGGGUUGUAAACUUCUUUUAUAUGGGAAUAAAGUGCAGUAUGUAUACUGCUUUGCAUGUACCUUAUGAAUAAGGAUCGGCUAACUCCGUGCCAGCAGCCGCGGUAAUACGGAGGAUCCGAGCGUUAUCCGGAUUUAUUGGGUUUAAAGGGAGCGUAGGCGGGUUGUUAAGUCAGUUGUGAAAGUUUGCGGCUCAACCGUAAAAUUGCAGUUGAUACUGGCAGCCUUGAGUACAGUAGAGGUAGGCGGAAUUCGUGGUGUAGCGGUGAAAUGCUUAGAUAUCACGAAGAACUCCGAUUGCGAAGGCAGCCUGCUAGACUGUAACUGACACUGAUGCUCGAAAGUGUGGGUAUCAAACAGGAUUAGAUACCCUGGUAGUC